UACAGAGGUCCCGAGCGUUGUUCGGAUUCACUGGGCGUAAAGCGUGCGCAGGCGGUGAUGUAAGACAGGUGUGAAAUCCCCGGGCUUAACCUGGGAACUGCAUUUGUGACUGCAUUGCUGGAGUGCGGCAGAGGGGGAUGGAGUUCCGCGUGUAGCAGUGAAAUGCGUAGAUAUGCGGAGGAACACCGAUGGCGAAGGCAAUCCCCUGGGCCUGCACUGACGCUCAUGCACGAAAGCGUGGGGAGCAAACAGG
This 253-nucleotide ribosomal RNA is filed under the name uncultured bacterium. RNAcentral's name for it is "partial 16S ribosomal RNA". It matches the Rfam family "Bacterial small subunit ribosomal RNA", at positions 524 to 776 of the family's 1533-position model. The record is from RNAcentral.